AACGAACGCUGGCGGCAUGCCUAACACAUGCAAGUCGAACGAUACCUUCGGGUCUAGUGGCGCACGGGUGCGUAACGCGUGGGAACCUGCCCUUAGGUUCGGAAUAACUCCCCGUAAGGGGUGCUAAUACCGGAUAAUGUCUUCGGACCAAAGAUUUAUCGCCUUUGGAUGGGCCCGAGUUGGAUUAGCUAGUUGGUAGGGUAAAAGCCUACCAAGGCGACGACCCAUAGCUGGUCUGAGAGGAUGAUCAGCCACACUGGGACUGAGACACGGCCCAGACUCCUACGGGAUGCAGCAGUGGGGAAUAUUGGACAAUGGGCUGAGGGCUGAUCCAGCAAUGCCGCGUGAGUGAUGAAGGCCUUAGGGUUGUAAAGCUCUUUUACCCGGGAUGAUAAUGACAGUACCGGGAGAAUAAGCUCCGGCUAACUCCGUG
Molecule: ribosomal RNA, 433 nt
Filed under: uncultured bacterium
Lineage: Bacteria
Description: partial 16S ribosomal RNA
Rfam family: Bacterial small subunit ribosomal RNA
Source: RNAcentral